GACGAACGCUGGCGGCGUGCUUAACACAUGCAAGUCGAACGGAAAGGCCUCUUUCGGGGGGUACUCGAGUGGCGAACGGGUGAGUAACACGUGAGUAACCUGCCCUUGACUUUGGGAUAACUUCAGGAAACUGGGGCUAAUACCGGAUAGGAGCUCCUGCUGCAUGGUGGGGGUUGGAAAGUUUCGGCGGUUGGGGAUGGACUCGCGGCUUAUCAGCUUGUUGGUGGGGUAGUGGCUUACCAAGGCUUUGACGGGUAGCCGGCCUGAGAGGGUGACCGGCCACAGUGGGACUGAGAUACGGCCCAGACUCCUACGGGAGGCAGCAGUGGGGAAUAUUGCACAAUGGGUGGAAGCCGGAUGCAGCAACGCCGGGGGCGGGAUGACGGCCUUCGGGUUGUAAACCGCUUUCGCUCAUGACGAAGCUUUGUGUGACGGUAGUGGGUAAAGAAGCACCGGCUAACUACGUG
RNAcentral lists this ribosomal RNA (467 nucleotides) under uncultured bacterium. RNAcentral's name for it is "partial 16S ribosomal RNA". It matches the Rfam family "Bacterial small subunit ribosomal RNA", at positions 28 to 507 of the family's 1533-position model. The record is from RNAcentral.